UACGUAGGGUGCAGGCGUUACUCGGAAUUACUGGGCGUAAAGCGUGCGCAGGCGGUUCGUUAUGUCCGAUGUGAAAGCCCCGAGCUCAACUUGGGAAUGGCAUUGGAAACUGGCGGGCUGGAGUGUGGCAGAGGGGGGUGGAAUUCCACGUGUAGCAGUGAAAUGCGUAGAGAUGUGGAGGAACACCGAUGGCGAAGGCAGCCCCCUGGGCCAACACUGACGCUCAGGCACGAAAGCGUGGGGAGCAAACAGG
This 253-nucleotide ribosomal RNA is filed under the name uncultured bacterium. RNAcentral describes it as "partial 16S ribosomal RNA". It matches the Rfam family "Bacterial small subunit ribosomal RNA", at positions 524 to 776 of the family's 1533-position model. The record is from RNAcentral.